AUUGAACGCUGGCGGCAGGCCUAACACAUGCAAGUCGAACGAGUGGCGGACGGGUGAGUAAUGGCUGGGAAACUGCCUGAUGGAUGGGGAUAAAUACUGGAAACGGUAGCUAAUACCGCAUACCAUCGGAUGUGCCCAGAGGGGAUUAGCUCGUAGGUGGGGUAACGGGUCACCUAGGCGACGAACCCUAGCUGGUCUGAGAGGAUGACCAGCCACACUGGAACUGAGACACUGUCCAGCCUCCUACGGGAGGCAGCAGUGGGGAGUAUUGCACUAUGGGCGCAAGCCUGAGGCAGCCAUGCCGCGUGUGUGAAGAAGGCCUUCGGGUUGUAAAGCACUUUCAGCGGGGAGGCGUUACCCGCAGAAGAAGCACCGGCUAACUCCGUGCCAGCAGCCGCGGUAAUUC
RNAcentral lists this ribosomal RNA (406 nucleotides) under uncultured bacterium. RNAcentral describes it as "partial 16S ribosomal RNA". It matches the Rfam family "Bacterial small subunit ribosomal RNA", at positions 30 to 526 of the family's 1533-position model. The record is from RNAcentral.